Molecule: non-coding RNA, 88 nt
Organism: Nemania abortiva
Lineage: Eukaryota; Fungi; Ascomycota; Sordariomycetes; Xylariales; Xylariaceae
Source: the annotation of a GenBank genome assembly
GGCAACGUGGCUGAGUGGUUAAAGCGUAUGACUAGAAACUAUAGAGAAUAUCCCUUCGGGGUCACAGGUUCGAGUCCUGUCGUUGUCG